RNAcentral lists this ribosomal RNA (253 nucleotides) under uncultured bacterium. Its description in RNAcentral is "partial 16S ribosomal RNA". It matches the Rfam family "Bacterial small subunit ribosomal RNA", at positions 524 to 776 of the family's 1533-position model. The record is from RNAcentral.
UACGUAGGUGGCAAGCGUUGUCCGGAUUUAUUGGGCGUAAAGCGCGCGCAGGCGGUGAGGUAAGUCCGUCGUGAAAUCUCCCGGCUCAACUGGGAGGGUGCGGGGGAGACUGCCUGACUGGAGGCACUCAGAGGCCGGUGGAAUUUCCGGUGGAGCGGUGAAAUGCGUAGAGAUCGGAAAGAACACCAGUGGCGAAGGCGACUAUCUGGGCUGCAACUGACGCUGAGGCGCGAAGGCUAGGGUAGCAAACAGG